GUCUGAUUUCGCACCCGAGGCGAUGCGGAGGGUUACAGCAGGCGGCCUUCUGACUACAGGGCAUGAGGAGGGUAAAGGCUUUCCUGGAGGAGGGAACACUUGGCCCUGACCACAGGUAGGCCCCAGACGGGGUGCCAAGCUGGACUUUGCCCAGGCAGGAGAGGAGACGUCUGGGAGGGUUUUGGCUGGGCUGAGUAGCGGACGCUGAGCUCCUGACCCCCCAGCCUUGCUCCAGGGCCCCCUCCUUCACUCCCCGUGCCCCUCCCUCUGUCCUCAUGCCGUGUGCUCUGCUGACACUCUUCAGUGGUCACAGGGCACAUGACUCUGAGGCCGAGGCCCCUCCACCCUGCAGCCUCUCAGCAGCCACGCCUCCUGUGCACCUGGGGCCUUGGCACUCCCAGCUCCUUCCCCUAGGGAAGGCCUGCUGUCCUCAGACUUCACCUGACCCAGUGCUUCUCCCAGGGAGCUGGCUUGACUGCCUCGCUGUGCGGCCCACCACCCUGACCACCUUUGCUGCAAUCCUAGUACAUCUCUCAGUGCACGGAGGCCUCCACAGGGCAGGACCAGCCUAGACCGUUCCUACAGGGCCUCGUGGAGUACAGGGAAGGACACACACCAAGUCUGUGCACGCUGGCAGUGGUUCUUGUUCUUGCUGUCAUUUGGGCCUGGGCUGCCCUCCCUGGCUCUUGAGCUUUCGCCUACCCACUGUCCACGAGUCCUGGACUUGGUGUCACGGGUUCCAAGCUGCUGAGACUGGCCUCUCUGUUGGGUGAGCUGAGGAUCUCUGCGUCUGUUUGUGCUUCCCCUUCUGUCUCCCCAACCCCUGCACUCACCCCGUAACCCUCCUGCUGACACACCAUGGGAGCACAGUCAACAUUUGCUGGAUGAAUAAGCCGAGGAGUGCCGAGCACACACCCCACAGGCCGAUCUGGGUGGUCAGGGAUGCC
This is a long non-coding RNA of Gorilla gorilla gorilla (western lowland gorilla), 947 nucleotides long. RefSeq lists it as uncharacterized. The transcript has 3 exons. NCBI's taxonomy places the organism in Eukaryota, Metazoa, Chordata, Mammalia, Primates, Hominidae. The record is from RefSeq and is a predicted model, not a curated record.